Molecule: ribosomal RNA, 253 nt
Filed under: uncultured bacterium
Lineage: Bacteria
Description: partial 16S ribosomal RNA
Rfam family: Bacterial small subunit ribosomal RNA
Source: RNAcentral
UACGGGGGGGGCAAGCGUUGUUCGGAAUUACUGGGCGUAAAGGGCGCGUAGGCGGUUGGAUAAGUCAGCUGUGAAAACCACGGGCUUAACUCGUGGCCUGCAGUUGAGACUGUCUGGCUUGAGUGUGGGAGAGGAGAGUGGAAUUCCUGGUGUAGCGGUGAAAUGCGCAGAUAUCAGGAAGAACACCCGUGGCGAAGGCGGCUCUCUGGGACGGUACUGACGCUGAGACGCGAAAGCGUGGGGAGCGAACAGG